CAAGAAAGAAAGAUUAUGGCCAGUCAAGAAAAAGAAUGGUUAGGGGUUCUGCAUCAUCAUCAACGUCUUCUUCUUCUUCUUCUUCUUCUUCUUCUUCUUCAAACCCUCAUAAUAACUCCCUACAAAAACAAAAUUGGAAGUUAUUGGAUCUUUUAUUGGAUUCUGCUUUAGAACAUUCAAUAAAAAAUCAAAGCUCUUUUGUUUCUCUCCUUCCUCCACCACCACCAAGAACAGCUUCAAAGAUUUUGCCACCAACGACAGAUAAUCAAAUUCCAUACUCAUCAUCAAGAAUGGUCAUCAAUCAAAUUCAAGAUAAUAAGGGCAAGAUUCAAGUUCCAAUAGAAGAGCAUAAAAAUGAUGAGGAAGAAUGGCUAAUGGGUAUCAAGAAACCAAUUGAAAAGCAAAAUUCAACUUCUUUAUACAACCGAUUUCCUAAUAGCAGAAUUCUUGGGUCAUCAUCAUCAAAUUAUUCAAGAAUUCAAAUGGGUAACGCUAAUUACUAUCAUCAUAGGAUUGCUCCAGCAGUGCAAAUUAGGUCAGUGAUUCCAGUAUGUGCAGCACCACCAUCAACAACAUCAGUAAUUACUGCUUCAUCUUCUUCAAAAUCUCCAACAAAGGCAGG
Molecule: long non-coding RNA, 622 nt
Filed under: Jatropha curcas
Lineage: Eukaryota; Viridiplantae; Streptophyta; Magnoliopsida; Malpighiales; Euphorbiaceae
Description: long non-coding RNA (JCUR_LNC000822)
Source: RNAcentral